UGGGGAAUUUUGCACAAUGGGCGCAAGCCUGAUGCAGCGACGCCGCGUGAGGGAUGAAGGCCUUCGGGUUGUAAACCUUUUUCGCUCAUGGUCAAGCCGCAGCUUUGGGUUGUGGUGACGGUAUGUGCAGAAGAAGCGCCGGCUAACUACGUGCCAGCAGCCGCGGUAAUACGUAGGGCGCGAGCGUUGUCCGGAAUUAUUGGGCGUAAAGAGCUCGUAGGCGGUUUGUCGCGUCUGCUGUGAAAGACCGGGGCUUAACUCCGGGGCUGCAGUGGGUACGGGCAGGCUGGAGUGCGGUAGGGGUAACCGGAAUUCCUGGUGUAGCGGUGGAAUGCGCAGAUAUCAGGAGGAACACCGAUGGCGAAGGCAGGUUACUGGGCCGUUACUGACGCUGAGGAGCGAAAGCAUGGGGAGCGAACAGG
Molecule: ribosomal RNA, 422 nt
Filed under: Verrucomicrobiota bacterium
Lineage: Bacteria; Pseudomonadati; Verrucomicrobiota
Description: Verrucomicrobia bacterium partial 16S ribosomal RNA
Rfam family: Bacterial small subunit ribosomal RNA
Source: RNAcentral